CCCGGACUCCCUCCCGGCUAGCCGCGGUGCACUAACGCCCUGCAGGCUGUGUUCACGCCGCCAACCUCAGUCCUCUCCCGUUGCUCCGAGAGAAGCCGGAGCCUCAGCUCCCAGCCCCGCCCGCCCCGUCGGGCGAGCAGAUAAGCCUCUCGGCUGAGAUCUCUGGAUUGUCAACAGGGAUAUUUGCCCGAAGUCAUCUUGCUUAACUGUUUACCCAGUUCAAAUUCCUUAUAUAAUACUCUCCACUUGGUGAUGAGUAAGCAUGGUUCAAUUUCACCAAAUCAGCAUUUUGUAAAAUGCAACUCAUGGAUUUUCUCUGGGUCGUAUAUAAAAAGAAAAAGGUUUCUGUGGUCAAGAAUAGUAAACAGUCCUCUCUCUUGCCCCUGCAACCCAAGGCACUUAUUUUUAUUUAUGUACUUGUUAGGACUGAUUGAAGAUUACUUUGUGCCUGGCACUUUUAUGCAUUCUGUCAUUUAAUUCUUGCAAUGCAGUUAUGAGCCAUGUGCUAAUCAAUUUUAUGUGUAAGAAACUUGGAAUCAGAAAAGUUAAGUGAUGAUCCUAACUAAUGAUUAGUGGCUGAAUUAGGAUUUGAACACAAAUCUGCCAUUUAAUACAAAAUCUUUUACCAAUUUUUUUCUUUCUUCAGUGGCAAAUUAUCCUGAGAAACUUGUUUUCCGUGAAGCACACCCUGGAAAAAUUUUUAAAUGGAGAAAAAAUGAUGCAAAUAUACCAGUUUUAAUUGGUGACAAGCAUCUUUUUAUAGAAGUACAAUUAAAGUGCCACCUGAGACAUCCAA
Orcinus orca (killer whale) is the source of this 796-nucleotide long non-coding RNA. RefSeq lists it as uncharacterized. The transcript is spliced from 2 exons. The record is from RefSeq and is a predicted model, not a curated record. Lineage: Eukaryota; Metazoa; Chordata; Mammalia; Artiodactyla; Delphinidae.